Molecule: long non-coding RNA, 830 nt
Organism: Carya illinoinensis
Lineage: Eukaryota; Viridiplantae; Streptophyta; Magnoliopsida; Fagales; Juglandaceae
Exons: 3
Source: RefSeq, a predicted model, not a curated record
ACUUAGUCCUACGCUGCACAAACCUCACACAGUCAUACCGUCAAACCCUUUUCCUUUUCGGGCUUUUCCCUCUUCGGCUCUUCAGUCUGAGUUCAGCCUUCGUCUUCGGUCUUCACCCAUUUUUGUUAUUUUCGGCUUCUCAUUUUCUGGAACCUGUUCUGACUCUCCUUCUCAUCAAGCCAUCGAGCAUCUCUCGCGUUCUCUAUUUUCUGGUGGAAUUAGUGGUGAAAUUCCUGGAGAUCUCUUGUUCGGGUUGUUGAAUGGAACAUGAUGAGUGAGGCAAUAAGGGGAAAUGAAAAUUUGAUAGACUUGGAAAGGCUGGACGCAGAAAGUUUCGCAAAUAAAGACGCUAAAAAAAAAUGAAGGAAAAAGUCAAACAUGUGGAGUUUCUUUGAGAUGGUUCCUGAUUCUGAUAAAAGUGGUGAUGGUAAAGCAUGACCCAAGUGCAAGAUGAGUGGAGCUACUUACUUGGCAGCGAGCAAAUAUGGAACUACAAAUUUAAAGCAUCACAUUGAUACAUACCCUAGAAGAAGUACCCGAGAUAUUAGUCAGUUGAUGUUAUGGCAAAAUAGUGGAUCUAUUUCGAUAAGCACUUCUAAAUUUAAUCAUCAACAAUAUAGACAACUUGUGGAGAUGUUAUUGUGAAGCAUGAUUUGUCUUUUCGGUUUGUUGAAUCUUUGGGGGUGAGAGCUUUUUUGCAAUAUGCGCAUCCAAAUAUUUCAAUUAUUUCUAGAAAUACUGCUAAGGCUGAUUUGGUUAAGCAAUAUCAUCGAGAAAAAAAAAAAGGAUUAAAUACAUAUUGAGUGAUGCUCCUGGUAGAAUUUGUCUGA